Long non-coding RNA from Hirundo rustica (Barn swallow), 2885 nucleotides. RefSeq lists it as uncharacterized. The record is from RefSeq and is a predicted model, not a curated record. The transcript has 6 exons. NCBI's taxonomy places the organism in Eukaryota, Metazoa, Chordata, Aves, Passeriformes, Hirundinidae.
UGUUGCUCCUCAGGAGGAGGAUUCACCUGGCUGAGCAGAGGAAGCUGGUGGAGAGGAAAAGCAUUUGGGAUGCUGUGGAAUCAUCACCUGGUACAGGAAGAGAGAAGAAUGACGUCUGUGUGUCUGGGGCUCUGCUGGUGGCAGCAGCUCUCCCCUGUGCCCACCCAAAGGAGAAGAAGAAAGGGAUGAAGUCAGAAGUGAGUUCCAGCCUUGAGAAGUCGGCUGGCUGUGCUUUUGGGGAGUUUUCUUCAGAAGCUGGUUGAAGUUGGUCGAAUUUGCCAAGUGAUCCUCACCUGGAAUUCAUUGCUCGUUGUAAUUCUCUUGGUGCUGUGGUGGCAGGGGCUGAUCUGCUGCAGCUGGAACUUGUUGCACAGCCCAUCUGGAUCCUGAAACACUUUAAAUCCCGCCUACCCUGAGUUGUGUAAUUAAAUGGAAUCAAGUGGCUUGGUGGGUGCCAGCAGAUUGGGCUGCAGGGUCUGCAUGGGCUGUCCAGACUGCGCUGAAGAAAAGGCACAGGGAGAGAACAUCUGAAAAUCUACCUGGGAGAGCACUAAAUGACUCCUCUACGUAUUGCUAAAGUGCUGUUUCCCUGCUAUAAAUUCCUGGAGUGAAAACCAGAGAAGCAGGCAGAGCCACCUCUCCAAGAGACCCUGAGCAUGGAUACAAAAGGAAACAAAGACUGAAGAGUGAGACUAUAAUUUUGUGGCAUUACAAGGACACUUUGUUCAGUCCUUUGCUUCCUUCUCCUCAAUAUUGUUUCGCGCUACUUUUAUUUCGAGUUGGUGCUUUAGCCCCUUGCGGAUUGCACCCCUGAAAGGGUGACCUGGGUGAGCUGUGUGUGGUAUGAGUUAAACGUGGCAAUCAGCAAACUCUGCAAAGAGAGGAAAAACUUUCCCUGUGCACACCAAGUUUAUGAAAAGUCUUUGUAUGAAUAAAAUAGCACUUGGAUCUCAAGAGCUUUGUCAAGUAUUGGAGAAAUUAUCCUUUUUCCAUGCAUCAGGAACUGGUGACAGAGACAACAGCAGCCUGACAGCUGCUGGGGAGGCCGUGUGUGACCAAUCCCAGCUUCCUAUAGUCAGGAACUGAAUGUGUGGGGAUUUAUUUGAAGCCCCCAGAGCAAGCUGUCAGGAUUUUUAGCCUAUAAAGCAGUGUGACACUGGGUUAUUUUGCCUUUAAAGGAAAUGGUGCCCAGCAGGUCCUGUUAAGUUUUGAACUUGUAGCCCCACCAAGGAGGCUAUUUAGAAAUGAGUCCAUCUGACCAAACAGCAGAUGUGAGGGCAGCUGGCUUGGUGUGAGUUACCACCUCUGUGGAGAGGUGUGGGCUUGUGCUGGGAGGUUCUCACUGGCUUCUGUCAGCCAGCCAGAAGUGGAUUAUUCUGGAGGAACAACAGACAGACCCUGGGCUUUGUCAGCUGCAGAGCCGUUUUUCUUUGGUUGGCAGCCAGCAACUUGCUGUGCUACUAUCCUGUUCCUCAGCUGAGGUUCCUCAGACAAAUGAAAGAGCAGUGAUGACGGAGAAAGAAGUGGCAGCAGCUGGAAGAAGAUGCCCCUCAGAUUCAUAUUUGCUUGGGGAGCCAGAAGAUCCUGCAGAGUCUUCUGGGGCUGGAAGUGGCAGUGCUCAGCUCUGCCAUGACAUGAGAUGCAUUCCCUCCCUUCUGUGAUGACUGAAGUGGGAAAUGGGCUGUGUUCCAGACCUGUAGCCUGUGGCAUUGGGCUGAAGAGAUAAGAAUUCGCAGAAAUGUAGAGCACCACAAAGCGUCUGAGCAAAAUUGAAAUGACAAAGUUCUUACAGUAGAACUUCCAUAACUGGAAGCGUUUCAGACUGUGUUGUCCUCCCUGAUAACUGCAGUCAGCUUUCAUGCUCCUUUCUUAUCUUCUCCUGCCAUGUAUGCAAUUAUCAAAAACAUUUGUUGAAAAAGCUUCCCUUGGUUGGGUUUUCUGUUCUGUGUGCAAUCCUUACAGCCAAACUGAGUGUGCACAUGGGUGUUAUCUCCCAGAGGUUUGAGCAGUGAUGUCUCCUGUCUCCAUAUCCCAAAUGCUGGUUGUAUAUGGAGCAAAGUCUGGUGUUUACAGGCACCCACAGUCCAGACAAGCCACUGUCAGUGUGCAUCCACAAAAGCCACACAGUUGGUCUAGAAACCAAGAUAUUGCUUGAUGCAGAGUUUUGCAUGUGCAGAGUGUUUUUGAAGGCAUUCUGUCCUGCUAAAGAACAGCUUGGGUGCUGAAGUACAGCUACUACUUCACUGGCAGAGUUUUCUGAUGUAUGAGGAAAACUUAAGAUGAGCUGGGAAAACAUUGAUACCCUCCUGCGAUCCUCCCCCAUGCUUGCAUUUCACAGAGUCAUUCUGUCUCGUAGUAAGUUGAGCAUUUUGGGGAAAGGAAGUGGCACCUGCCACAGAGAAGCCUUUUAAUCCCUCAGUGGGGCCCUUGUGACUUCAGCAGGGAUGAGGAUUUCACUGCUCCUCAGCAUGAGGGAUGGUGCUGCUUGGCCGUGUCACCGGUACUCAUGGUGCUCAGGAGCCAAACCUGUAGAUUUGUAUUCUUUUAAAGCCAUCAGUUGCUCUCCUUUGCCAAUGGAUAUGUUAUUUGACUUCUUAGGCCAUUAAAAAAAUGAUCUUAGUGUCAUUUGUCACAGUUUCAAAAGAGCACUGCUGAUCAACAGGCCAUUCCUUCAAAAUGAACCUGUCUAGACAGCAGGAGGGGUGAGCAAAGUGUGAUCUUGGCCCUAUUACCAUAUAUCAUAAUUCUCAUUUCUUCCUCUCUUUCCUAGAAAGCAGGGUUGCUGUUCACAAGCAGAAUUUGGGGAUGCUUUGCUGGAUCAUGCUCAAACUUCUAUGACAAUCCUUUUACUACUGCUUUUCUUGUUCCUGAUGGUGUGGGUAGGA